This 107-nucleotide small RNA is filed under the name Marmota monax (woodchuck). Lineage: Eukaryota; Metazoa; Chordata; Mammalia; Rodentia; Sciuridae. The record is from RNAcentral.
GCUGGGCAUGGCGGUGCACGCCUGUAAUCCCAGCUGCUUGGGAGGCUGAGGUAGAUGGAUCCCAAGUUCAAGGCCAGCUUGAGCAACUUAGUGAGAUCUUAUCUAAA